UUGGAGGUAUGGCUCAAGUGGUAGAGCUCCAGCUGUGAUCAAGAAAGCCAAAGAGUAUGAGGCCCUGGGUUCCAGCACAUGUACCAGUGCAAAUAAAACAUGUCACAGAUGGGCAAACAGGCCUUUUCCUUAUUUCUCCAGAGAUCUGAGUAAGGCAGUCAAAGUACAUGUGAAUGUCAGUGUGGCUGUCAAAAGGGAGAGUGAAUGGCUGUCAAGGUCAAAAUAAUUUCAGCUAUCCAUUAUGUGCUAAGAGGAAUAAACUGUAUCCCACCAGAUUUGUCCAACCUGUCCCAGAUGCUGAGAAGAUUCUUUCAUAGAAAAUAAUGAAAAGAUUUCUUCUAGGCUCUAUCAUGUUUUAAGAUGGAUUUGAAGUAGAGGACUGGGAAUGUGGCUUAGUGGUAGACUGCGUGCCUAGCAAGCA
Perognathus longimembris pacificus (Pacific pocket mouse) is the source of this 421-nucleotide long non-coding RNA. RefSeq lists it as uncharacterized. The transcript is spliced from 3 exons. Lineage: Eukaryota; Metazoa; Chordata; Mammalia; Rodentia; Heteromyidae. The record is from RefSeq and is a predicted model, not a curated record.